GUCUUCAUGGCGGGGUGGAAUUCCCGACCGGCGGUAGAGUCCGCGACGGAUGGCAGGGCCAUCUUUGAUCCGGUGCGAUUCCGGAACCGACAGUACAGUCUGGAUGAGAGAAGACG
This 116-nucleotide non-coding RNA is filed under the name chicken gut metagenome. RNAcentral's name for it is "FMN riboswitch (RFN element)". It matches the Rfam family "FMN riboswitch aptamer (RFN element)". Rfam says of the family: The RFN element is a highly conserved domain that is found frequently in the 5'-untranslated regions of prokaryotic mRNAs that encode for flavin mononucleotide (FMN) biosynthesis and transport proteins. This element is a metabolite-dependent riboswitch that directly binds FMN in the absence of proteins. The record is from RNAcentral.